CUACGGGACGCUCCAGUGGGGAAUAUUGCACAAUGGGCGCAAGCCUAAUGCAGCAACGCCGCGUGAGGGAUGAAGGCCUUCGGGUUGUAACCCUCUUUUAGCAGGGAAGAAGCGAAAGUGACGGUACCUGCAGAAAAAGCACCGGCUAACUACGUGCCAGCAGCCGCGGUAAUACGUAGGGUGCAAGCGUUGUCCGGAAUUAUUGGGCGUAAAGAGCUCGUAGGCGGUUUGUCACGUCUGCUGUGAAAAUCCAAGGCUCAACCUUGGACUUGCAGUGGGUACGGGCAGGCUAGAGUGCAGUAGGGGAGAUGGGAAUUCCUGGUGUAGCGGUGGAAUGCGCAGAUAUCAGGAGGAACACCAAUGGCGAAGGCACAUCUCUGGGCCGUAACUGACGCUGAGGAGCGAAAGCGUGGGGAGCGAACAGGAUUAGAUACCCGGGUAGUC
This 444-nucleotide ribosomal RNA is filed under the name uncultured bacterium. RNAcentral's name for it is "partial 16S ribosomal RNA". It matches the Rfam family "Bacterial small subunit ribosomal RNA", at positions 339 to 795 of the family's 1533-position model. The record is from RNAcentral.